AUUUAUAUAAUAUAAAAAGUAUAAUUAACUUCCAAUUAAAAAGUCUAAUAAAUUUUAGUAUAAAUA
RNAcentral lists this transfer RNA (66 nucleotides) under Cephalcia yanqingensis. RNAcentral describes it as "tRNA-Gly". Lineage: Eukaryota; Metazoa; Arthropoda; Insecta; Hymenoptera; Pamphiliidae. The record is from RNAcentral.